GAUUUUCAUAUGGCAAUAAAAGAAAAAUUUCAUCUGUCAACUGAAAUUUCGAGGAAUUGUUUUUGGUUUGGCUUUAAAUUUCCUUUAAAAAGUGAUGAAAAUGUCGAAGAAACCUCUUCGAUCGCAAGCAAGACAUAUUUUUUUCAAUGUUUAUCAAAGAAUACUUGGUCAACAAGAUGCAGAACAUACACAAUCAUCGAUAUUGAGCCAUGUGCAAGCGUUGACUGGGAUCGAUGAAUGGCGAAAAUCUUGUGAACAUGUAAUAAAAAUUGAAAAUCAGUUCAUAGAACAAGAUCGGUUAAUUGAGAUGCAGGAGGAAAGGUUUAUCAUAAAAACUGAGUUGAAGACUUUUUUAUGGAUGUGCAGUAUUUGGAACCAUUUUCAAGUUCUUAAUUAAUAAACUCAUGAACAGAGUAA
Molecule: long non-coding RNA, 417 nt
Organism: Pieris napi
Lineage: Eukaryota; Metazoa; Arthropoda; Insecta; Lepidoptera; Pieridae
Exons: 2
Source: RefSeq, a predicted model, not a curated record